This 357-nucleotide long non-coding RNA is filed under the name Homo sapiens (human). RNAcentral describes it as "non-protein coding lnc-SLC25A6-1:2". Lineage: Eukaryota; Metazoa; Chordata; Mammalia; Primates; Hominidae. The record is from RNAcentral.
CCUGCAGGACACCGUCUGUCUUACGGCACGAAGCCCAGGGCCUCCGUAGGGCUCACAGGCGGCUUCUAGAGAAGAUGCCCGCCACAGGUGCUCUCUGCUCCAUCUCAGGUGACCACUGGCCAUCUCGGAAGAAACCUGGCAGGCGGAUCGGGGCUCAUUCCUUUCUUCUUGGUCCUUGGAGGGGCAGGGCAGUGAGAGACACAGCUCUACCCCCACUACCCAGCAGCUGUUGUCUCUCCCACUUCCAAUUCCUGGGUGUGAGGCCCACCUGAUCCUCCUUUCCCAAGGAGGCUGUGUGGCCCCAAAGGCCUCCCAGGUCAUGCCCUAGUCAGGCAUAGCAACUGUGUUGUUCCCUCC